GCGGCGUUAUGCCCUUGCCGUGAGGGAAAGCCCUCUUCUCCUUUCUUUUCUCUUUCUUUUAAGUUUCAUUUUUCCGGUAUUUGGUGGUGGUUUUUGAAGCAUCAGAGGCGCAUUGUUGGUCUCAUGUGGUCCAUUUGGUUUCUAGCUCCUUGGCUCAGAUCUAUGAGAACCGGAUUUGGGUCUGUGUCCUUAAACUUAACCUCGGUUCUUUUUAUGUGGAUCCACAGUGGAUUGUUAGCUUCUAUUCUGAAACGGUGUGGUGGUGGGGGUCUUUCGGUGAGCGAGUGAGACGUGGGGGUGGGGCUCGUUCCGUCACAGAACUAUUGGGUGGUUCCUGUAGAAGCCGGAAAACCGGAUCCGAUAUAAUAUAAACGAUGUUAGGAAAAAUAUAUAGAAGAUUCAAAACCAUAGCGAAAAUGAAACCAUGGAGUCGAGACAAAUCUCUUUCCUUAACUCUUAAUAUUCGCUCCGUUAGUGCGACGGAUUUGUACGAAUAUGAGUUCCAGGAUAAAACCAUGAUAGGUUAUCAUGCAGCAUUCGUGAAGAACCUCUAUGAACUAUUGAUCUACGAAACACUCUCGAAACGAUAGACAUACGCUUUGGGAUUUUUUGCUGUUGGUUCACGAUAUAAAAAAUGUUGAGAAAUGAAUGAAGAGGAGAGACGAUAUUUAAAGAGACGGAGAAGGCUCACUUCCCGCAACAGCGGUUGCACGUGGACGAGAAUUUCGCGGAGAUCGUGGGAAGUUGAGUUACGAAACUUAUUCCCCAAGACUCUCUCUUUCUUAUCUCUUAUCUCGUUUAACAAUUUCGAGAGGAUAAAAUGCAUGACGUUUUUAUUUUUUAGACAAACUACUUGUCGUUUUAAAUAAAAUUGCAUGCUGUUUUUUCCCGAAUUGAAUGGCAAGUCGUUGAGCUUAACUUGGUCCAAAAAGAAUCUUAUUGGGCCGGAAGCCCUCCACCAAGAUCCAAGCCCAAGCCCAAACUCAAGCCCACGCCCAUGCCGAGCCGAGCCGGCCGGACGGCGGCGGAGGCACGCGCGUGGAGAGCCUUUCUCUCUCUCUUUUUCCAA
RNAcentral lists this long non-coding RNA (1069 nucleotides) under Brassica napus (rape). Its description in RNAcentral is "long non-coding RNA (BNAP_LNC009810)". The record is from RNAcentral. Lineage: Eukaryota; Viridiplantae; Streptophyta; Magnoliopsida; Brassicales; Brassicaceae.